Molecule: long non-coding RNA, 204 nt
Filed under: Panax ginseng (ginseng)
Lineage: Eukaryota; Viridiplantae; Streptophyta; Magnoliopsida; Apiales; Araliaceae
Description: long non-coding RNA (PGIN_LNC013529)
Source: RNAcentral
CCAGAGUUCAAGAAUGUCCAAAUUGUUAACAUGAUCACCAAUUGCGGAGUAAAAUUCAAGAAUGAUAUUUAAGAUUCAUAGUUCAAUGAUACUUUGGACAAAGAAAAAAACUAAAUUUUAUCGUGAAUAGUACUUUGGCCUGAAUAGUUUCUCGGAUGAAUAAUACUCCGGCAUAAAUAGUACCCCGGAUGAAUAAUACUCCAG